RNAcentral lists this ribosomal RNA (253 nucleotides) under uncultured bacterium. Its description in RNAcentral is "partial 16S ribosomal RNA". It matches the Rfam family "Bacterial small subunit ribosomal RNA", at positions 524 to 776 of the family's 1533-position model. The record is from RNAcentral.
CACGUAGGGCGCAAGCGUUGUCCGGAAUUAUUGGGCGUAAAGAGCUCGUAGGCGGUCUGUUGCGUCCGCUGUGAAAACUCGGGGCUUAACCCCGAGCCUGCAGUCGAUACGGGCAGGCUAGAGUUCGGUAGGGGAGACUGGAAUUCCUGGUGUAGCGGUGAAAUGCGCAGAUAUCAGGAGGAACACCGGUGGCGAAGGCGGAUCUCUGGGCCAUUACUGACGCUGAGGAGCGAAAGCGUGGGGAGCGAACAGG